GAUGAACGCUAGCGGGAGGCCUAACACAUGCAAGCCGAGCGGUAGAGUCUCUUCGGAGACUUGAGAGCGGCGCACGGGUGCGGAACACGUGUGCAACCUGCCUUUAUCUGGGGGAUAGCCUUUCGAAGGGAAGAUUAAUACCCCAUAAUAUACUGGAUGGCAUCAUCUGGUAUUGAAAACUCCGGUGGAUAGAGAUGGGCACGCGCAAGAUUAGAUAGUUGGCGAGGUAACGGCUCACCAAGUCAGCGAUCUUUAGGGGGCCUGAGAGGGUGAUCCCCCACACUGGUACUGAGACACGGACCAGACUCCUACGGGAGGCAGCAGUGAGGAAUAUUGGACAAUGGGUGAGAGCCUGAUCCAGCCAUCCCGCGUGAAGGACGACGGCCCUAUGGGUUGUAAACUUCUUUUGUAUAGGGAUAAACCUAGAUACGUGUAUCUAGCUGAAGGUACUAUACGAAUAAGCACCGGCUAACUCCGUG
This 479-nucleotide ribosomal RNA is filed under the name uncultured bacterium. RNAcentral's name for it is "partial 16S ribosomal RNA". It matches the Rfam family "Bacterial small subunit ribosomal RNA", at positions 28 to 507 of the family's 1533-position model. The record is from RNAcentral.